Molecule: ribosomal RNA, 450 nt
Filed under: uncultured bacterium
Lineage: Bacteria
Description: partial 16S ribosomal RNA
Rfam family: Bacterial small subunit ribosomal RNA
Source: RNAcentral
CCUACGGGGGGCUGCAGUAAGGAAUAUUGGUCAAUGGACGCAAGUCUGAACCAGCCAUGCCGCGUGGAGGAUGAAGGUCCUCUGGAUUGUAAACUUCUUUUAUUUGGGAAGAAACUCCCGAUUUCCAUCGGGAUUGACGGUACCAGAUGAAUAAGCACCGGCUAACUCCGUGCCAGCAGCCGCGGUAAUACGGAGGGUGCAAGCGUUAUCCGGAUUCACUGGGUUUAAGGGGGGCGUAGGUGGGAGGGUAGAAAUCUCCGGGCUUAACCCGGAAACUGCCAUUGAUACUAUUUGUCUUGAAUACUCUGGAGGUGAGCGGAAUAUGUCAUGUAGCGGUGAAAUGCUUAGAUAUGACAUAGAACACCCAUUGCGAAGGCAGCUCACUACGGAAAUAUUGACGCUGAGGCACGAAAGCGUGGGGAUCAAACAGGAUUAGAUACCCCAGUAGUC